Molecule: ribosomal RNA, 703 nt
Filed under: uncultured bacterium
Lineage: Bacteria
Description: bacterial SSU rRNA
Rfam family: Bacterial small subunit ribosomal RNA
Source: RNAcentral
CGCACGGGUGAGUAACGCGUAAGUUAUCUACCCUCCCAUCUGGAAUAACUCACCGAAAGGUGUGCUAAUACCGGAUACGUUGGAAACAAGAAAGGUGGCCUCUAUUUAUAAGCUACCGUGGGGGGAUGAGCUUGCGUACCAUUAGCUAGUUGGUAGGGUAAUGGCCUACCAAGGCAACGAUGGUUAGCGGGUCUGAGAGGAUGAUCCGCCACACUGGAACUGGAACACGGACCAGACUCCUACGGGAGGCAGCAGUGAGGAAUAUUGCGCAAUGGGGGAAACCCUGACGCAGCGACGCCGCGUGGAUGAUGAAGGCCCUUGGGUCGUAAAAUCCUGUCAGUAUGGAAAGAAAUGCUAUUGGUUUAAUAUGCCUUUAGUUUGACGGUACCAUCAAAGGAAGCACCGGCUAACUCCGUGCCAGCAGCCGCGGUAAUACGGAGGGUGCAAGCGUUGUUCGGAAUUACUGGGCGUAAAGCGCGCGUAGGUGGUUUGUUAAGUCAGAUGUGAAAAGUCCACGGCUCAACCGUGGAAAGUGCAUUUGAAACUGGCAGACUUUGAGUAUUGGAGGGGGUAGUGGAAUUCCCGGUGUAGAGGUGAAAUUCGUAGAUAUCGGGAGGAAUACCGGUGGCGAAGGCGACUACCUGGCCAAAUACUGACACUGAGGUGCGAAAGCGUGGGGAGCAAACAGGAUUAGAUACCCUGG